This 486-nucleotide ribosomal RNA is filed under the name uncultured bacterium. RNAcentral describes it as "partial 16S ribosomal RNA". It matches the Rfam family "Bacterial small subunit ribosomal RNA", at positions 30 to 507 of the family's 1533-position model. The record is from RNAcentral.
AUUGAACGCUGGCGGCAUGCCUUACACAUGCAAGUCGAACGGCAGCACGGGUGCUUGCACCUGGUGGCGAGUGGCGAACGGGUGAGUAAUACAUCGGAACAUGUCCUGUAGUGGGGGAUAGCCCGGCGAAAGCCGGAUUAAUACCGCAUACGAUCUACGGAUGAAUGCGGGGGACCUUCGGGCCUCGCGCUAUAGGGUUGGCCGAUGGCUGAUUAGCUAGUUGGUGGGGUAAAGGCCUACCAAGGCGACGAUCAGUAGCUGGUCUGAGAGGACGACCAGCCACACUGGGACUGAGACACGGCCCAGACUCCUACGGGAGGCAGCAGUGGGGAAUUUUGGACAAUGGGCGAAAGCCUGAUCCAGCAAUGCCGCGUGUGUGAAGAAGGCCUUCGGGUUGUAAAGCACUUUUGUCCGGAAAGAAAUCCUUGGCCCUAAUACGGUCGGGGGAUGACGGUACCGGAAGAAUAAGCACCGGCUAACUACGUG